Molecule: long non-coding RNA, 593 nt
Organism: Oreochromis aureus
Lineage: Eukaryota; Metazoa; Chordata; Actinopteri; Cichliformes; Cichlidae
Source: Ensembl
ACAUUGUGUGCUUCAUCUUUUUGUGUCACUUGUAAAACCCAUGCACUGCGCUGGUAUUCUUCACUGAGUGGCUAGAGGCUGCAUUUAGGAAUGCCGUUACUUCUCGUGAUGUUUCCUAAUACUCUGGAGCCCUACAGGUAUGAGCUUCAAACAGGCACGAGACACCUCUGUCUCCAUCCACACAGUAGAGACUGGGACUAAUCGCAGCGGGCGCCACACACCUCAGGAAGUCGGUGUGGCAGGGUCUGCGCGUUGGGGCUUGAAUUAGGAGCGUUGUCAGCUUUUGUCAAAUGGAAAUGCAGCUCUACAGACAGACGCUGAUGCUUGAAGACACGGCAAGCCAAUCUACCAGCCUAAUUGCUGUACGGGACAGAGUUUAGCAGUUUGCAGAGUGAAAGAAAUACAGCCAGGAAACAAUCUUCCACCAUGGUAAUUACUGCUAAAUGAGGCUGAUGCGAAGCUGACCUGCUGUCUGGUUAGGGGUGUGGCAGAGUGCCCUAAACACAACGUCCAAUCACAAGUCUUCCCCCAAACCCUGGGAUCAACACUCAUCAUUGGCUGAAAGUCCCAAAUGCAUGCCAGACUUUUUCCAG